GACGAACGCUGGCGGCGUGCUUAACACAUGCCAGUCGAACGGAAAGGCCCUGCUUUUGUGUGUUUCUCGAUUGGCGAACGGGGGAGUAACACGUGAGUAACCUGCCCUUGACUUUGUGAUAACUUCAGGAAACUGGGGCUAAUACCGCGGAUAAUCUCCUGCUGCAUGGGGGGCGAUGGAAAGAUUCGGCGGUUGGGGAUGGACUCGCGGCUUAUCAGCUUGUUUGGGUGGUAGUUGCGGACCAAGGCUUUGACGGGUAGCCGGCAUUGGAGCGUGACCGGCGACAUUGGGACUGCGAUAGGGACCAGAAUGGUACGGGAGGCAGUGGUGGGGAAUCUGGCACAAUGGGCGGGCGUGUGAUGUAGAAACCCUGCGUGCGGGAUGAUCGCUUUCGGGUUGUAAACAGAUUUCGACUGUGCCGAAGAGUGCGUGACGGUAAUGGGUAAAGAAGCAACGGCUAACUACGUG
RNAcentral lists this ribosomal RNA (468 nucleotides) under uncultured bacterium. RNAcentral describes it as "partial 16S ribosomal RNA". It matches the Rfam family "Bacterial small subunit ribosomal RNA", at positions 28 to 507 of the family's 1533-position model. The record is from RNAcentral.